UGGCCAUAAGACAGGGAUAACGCACGGAAACGUGAGCUAAAACCAGAUAGGCAUUUUCCACGCAUGAGGGAGAUGAGAAAGCGGAGCAAUCUGCCGCUUAUGGAUGGACCUGCGUCGCAUUAGCUAGUUGGAGUGGUAAAGGCACACCAAGGCGACGAUGCGUAGCCGACCUGAGAGGGUGAGCGGCCACACUGGGACUGAGACACGGCCCAGACUCCUACGGGAGGCAGCAGUAGGGAAUCUUCCGCAAUGGACGAAAGUCUGACGGAGCAACGCCGCGUGAGUGAAGAAGGUUUUCGGAUCGUAAAGCUCUGUUGCCAGGGAAGAAGAGCAAGGAGAGGAACUGCUCCUUGAGCGACGGUACCUGAGAAGAAAGCCCCGGCUAACUACGUG
RNAcentral lists this ribosomal RNA (393 nucleotides) under uncultured bacterium. RNAcentral describes it as "bacterial SSU rRNA". It matches the Rfam family "Bacterial small subunit ribosomal RNA", at positions 127 to 507 of the family's 1533-position model. The record is from RNAcentral.